Molecule: ribosomal RNA, 293 nt
Filed under: uncultured bacterium
Lineage: Bacteria
Description: partial 16S ribosomal RNA
Rfam family: Bacterial small subunit ribosomal RNA
Source: RNAcentral
GUGUCAGCCGCCGCGGUAAUACGAAGGGGGCUAGCGUUGCUCGGAAUGACUGGGCGUAAAGGGCGCGUAGGCGGAGUGCUUUGUCAGACGUGAAAUUCCAGGGCUUAACCUUGGGGCUGCGUUUGAGACGGGCAUUCUAGAGUGAGGAAGAGGGUCGUGGAAUUCCCAGUGUAGAGGUGAAAUUCGUAGAUAUUGGGAAGAACACCGGUGGCGAAGGCGGCGACCUGGUCCUUUUACUGACGCUGAGGCGCGAAAGCGUGGGGAGCAAACAGGAUUAGAUACCCUAGUAGUCC